Molecule: non-coding RNA, 31 nt
Filed under: Rattus norvegicus (Norway rat)
Lineage: Eukaryota; Metazoa; Chordata; Mammalia; Rodentia; Muridae
Source: RNAcentral
UGUGACCAUGGCUUAUUCCAGAGUUGCCUUA